This 514-nucleotide ribosomal RNA is filed under the name uncultured bacterium. Its description in RNAcentral is "partial 16S ribosomal RNA". It matches the Rfam family "Bacterial small subunit ribosomal RNA", at positions 28 to 523 of the family's 1533-position model. The record is from RNAcentral.
GAUGAACGCUGGCGGCGUGCCUAAUACAUGCAAGUCGAGCGAAUGGAUUAAGAGCUUGCUCUUAUGAAGUUAGCGGCGGACGGGUGAGUAACACGUGGGUAACCUGCCCAUAAGACUGGGAUAACUACGGGAAACCGGGGCUAAUACCGGAUAACAUUUUGAACCGCAUGGUUCGACAGUGAAAGGCGGCUUAGGAUGUCACUCAUGGCUGGACCCGCGUCGCAUUAGAUAGUUGGUGAGGUAACGGCCCACCAAGGCAACGAUGCGUAGCCGACCUGAGAGGGUGAUCGGCCACACUGGACUGAGACACGGCCCAGACUCCUACGGGAGGCAGCAGUAGGGAAUCUUCCGCAAUGGACGAAAGUCUGACGGAGCAACGCCGCGUGAGUGAUGAAGGCUUUCGGGUCGUAAAACCCUGUUGUUAGGGAAGAACAAGUGCUAGUUGAAUAAGCUGGCACCUUGACGGUACCUAACCAGAAAGCCACGGCUAACUACGUGCCAGCAGCCGCAGUAA